GCCGAAAUAGUGUGUGACUCCAAAGUUAAUGUCGCUAUUUUCACCGAACCACCUCUACCAAUGUCGACCAACUGCUGAUGCUUGUGUCUCCAGAUCGUGUAAAUUACUUGUGUCCGUGUUGGGAUGUUAAACGAUGAUGGGCGCUGUUGUAUUCUGGAAUUGGAUGCGAAAUUUGAUUUUAAGAAAAUUGGGGGUAUUGGCCGUGUACGGUGAUGUGUUGUUGUGGUGAAGAAGCCAAGUCUCUUUUUUUCUUAAAGAAGCAAAGUCUGGUGCAAUCUUCAAUGCGGCCUUUUGUUGGCUAGG
Molecule: long non-coding RNA, 303 nt
Filed under: Erythranthe guttata (spotted monkey flower)
Lineage: Eukaryota; Viridiplantae; Streptophyta; Magnoliopsida; Lamiales; Phrymaceae
Description: long non-coding RNA (EGUT_LNC003219)
Source: RNAcentral